AUGAUUGUUUCUUACAAACAUUACAGAAGAGGCCAGGAUAGCCACCACCUGCUCCCAUGCUGGUCUGGUGGCUUAUGAAAUGGUGACAUUCUUCUGAAAAUCUGCACUUCCACUGAAAGUUGUUUUGUGCGAGGUAAGAUGAGUUUAUUGAAAGCUGUGCCUGUUGUUUUUGAUCAGCGAUAGCAGUUUCAUACAUGCAAGAAAUCCACCUGAAGAGGAGUUCCCAUUUCCACUUGGAAAGGGAUUGUAGCAGCUGGUCCCGCCCCUUGAUCUCUACUCAUGAAAAAGGUCUUAAAGAUGAACCUACUCACAUACUACUGCACAUCCAGGCUUUCCAUGUGAUAAGGGAUCCCAACUGCAUUACCAGCCUAUACAAUACAGAUGUUUGCACACAUACUUCUCUUUCAGACCCUCAGCCCAAUGCAUGAAGGUAAAGGAGUAGUACUGUUGACUAUUAUCUCACUUUCUCUUCACAUGUUUGGUGAACACUGGGAGGGGAAGGGGGAGGUCUGAGUAGAGCCUUGAUGUUGUAGUCAUUGAGUGAUGAUGAUGUAUAUGUGAAUUCACCCUUCAUUUUGCUUGAUGAGGCUCAUGCAGUUAAAGCUUUGUAUUUCAAAGACUGAGAAUCCCUGAUGUACUCAACUUGAAGACAAAGCUUCAUUUUGAUGUAGGACCCUUAAAGAAUGUUCUUUGAAGUGGGAAGCUUGAAGUGUAUUUCUACUAGGCUGUAAUUACAACCAAGUUCAAAAGAAAGCUCUUCGUAAGUCACACUAUUAUAGAUACUGUGGAUCGCACUGGAGAAAGAGAAAUCUACUUACAAGUUUCCAAAGCCACAGAAGCAGGAAGAGUGUAAUGGCUUGGUCAUUCGGUCAAGGGCAAAAGGGAAUUACAAUUAUCCUCCUCAGAGAAUAAUAGCAAGAGACUGAUGAAGGAUACUAGAAACAGGAAGGGAGAGAAUCAAAGGCCUCCAGCGAAAGGCAAGAAGUGGAAGGGAGACAAAGAAAUGGACAAAGGAUGGCAAAAAGGCAAUGGCAGCAGCAUGAACAGCUUACAUUGUGGGAGAAUCCCUGUUUGAAGAUAAGGAUGUGCACGGAACAGGUGGGGGCCGGUUUGAAGGCAGAAGGGAAGGUGUGCACAUGUCGGGGUGUGUGCGCACGAGUGCAGUGUGCGCAAACACGCGGAGUACUUCCUGUCACUUCUGGUCCAACAAGAGAACAGUAGGGGUGUGCAAAUCGGCUCGACGUCAAACGGGUCCCACUCCUCCCUAUUUUCUUGAUUAUCUCCCUCAUUCUGGGGGCCACUGGGGAGAAGGGCAACCACAGCCUCCCUCUCCCCUAGCUACACCCCUGUUGCAGAUGUAAACACCCAAUUUUGUCUAUGUUGCAUAGAAGCCUUCAGGUUCUUUAAGGGAAUGUGGUGCACUGUGCAAAGUGGUUUGUUCCAUCAUAACUAUACAGUGCUAGCACCACACAGAUAAAUAUGAAAGGUAAAAUGGAGAUAAUCAGGAUGAAAGGAAGAGAGAAUGCUGUCCUCCAAUUUCUUUAGAGAACUAUACCAGUGAUAUAAAGCAGCAAGAGAGGUGGAGUUACUACAAGCAGCAAUAUGCUUCUCUACAUGUAGUCAAUUUCAUAUGCUACCUCCUCCGUCCUGCCUGUGCAGUGCUGGCACAUGGUAAACUUGCACCGUUGAAAUCAAAGGCUCAGGUGUCCACAUAUUUUAGAUAUUAUAUGGGUUCGCUGAACUGAAAAUAUUCAACAUGUUUCUGCUUUCUUGACAGAAGUACAUUAUUUCAUGCACCAGUGAGAUUCUCACUCUGAAAUCAAAUAGUCUAGCCAAACUGAGGGAAAAACCCUUGAAUAUGGAUAUGUCUUUUCUGGGUUGGACUAGCUGUUAUAAGUUUCAGUAAUAAUACCCUAGUUUGGUUGCACUGUGUUCUAUUAGCUUCCAUGUUCAGUUCAAAAUGCUGAUGAUCCCCUUUAAGUCCCUGAUGGUCUGGAAGCCUGAAUAAAUUGAGAGCCUUAUGAACUUUGUCACAUAUUCAUAUCCAGGGAGGAAAUAUUGCUUCAUGGCCCAUCCUUUAAAGAUAUGAGAGCUGCAGAAUAGGGCUAUGCCCCCACUCCGCAACCCCCUCCCCCAAAAAAGUCAGAAUUGCUUUUGAAAAUGUGGUGGAGAAAAUGAGGGGGCAUUUUGGAUCAGUCUUAGUACAAAGUAACCCAUGAAAUGAUUAUAUCAGGGCACAUUUCCAUUAAAAAGUGAGCAUCAAUAAAGGAACAGGAAUUUCGAUUGUGAUUAUGCUGGCGAGAGUUCUGUUGUGUAUAACACAUACAGAUUCUUAUAUAUCCUUAACACUGACAUGAGACACUGGUUUAAAAAAGAACAAAAACCUGGAAUUUGUAUCCUAGCAUAAAAUACAUUGUGAGAGUUACAGCUCUAACUCGGCCAUGUUUCAUUUCAAGCUCUGUGCAUGUGCAUUGAUUUCAUACUGCGCACUACACUCAAUUUAUUUGU
Molecule: long non-coding RNA, 2508 nt
Organism: Hemicordylus capensis (graceful crag lizard)
Lineage: Eukaryota; Metazoa; Chordata; Lepidosauria; Squamata; Cordylidae
Exons: 4
Source: RefSeq, a predicted model, not a curated record